AUGGUCCACCUGGUCCCCGCCCAUCGGAGCGAAAAAGGGAACUGCCCCGCCCGCCAGCUAGCCGCGGGAUCACGUGCACCCUCCUCGCCAAACCAUGCCCCGCCCACCAACUGCGCCCUGGCUAUCUUCUUCUUCCUCACGAAAGAAGGAUCUGCCCAGGUUGCAGAAUCCUUCAUCGCUAGGAGAGAAGGACAACAUGGCGGCUCCCAGGAACAAAUAAGAGAAGAGAAGAGGCUUAGAGAUCACAAAAAAGACAAUAAAAAAGUAGAUCAAAGACCAGGCAGGAUCUUCUUCUUCCUCACGAAAGAAGGAUCUGCCCAGUUUGCAGGACCUUCAUCGCCAGAACAAAAGAACAAGAGAAGAGAAGAGGGCUUAGAAAUCAGAGAGAAGACCAGAAAAAGCCAGAUCAGAAGAGAGGAGGGACAAAAAAGAAAACCUACCUCUAGGAUCCAGAGGUGA
RNAcentral lists this ribosomal RNA (459 nucleotides) under Triticum aestivum (bread wheat). Its description in RNAcentral is "partial small subunit ribosomal RNA". Lineage: Eukaryota; Viridiplantae; Streptophyta; Magnoliopsida; Poales; Poaceae. The record is from RNAcentral.